UACGGGGGGGGCAAGCGUUGUUCGGAAUUACUGGGCGUAAAGGGCGCGUAGGCGGCCCUCUAAGUCGGACGUGAAAUCCCUCGGCUCAACCGGGGAACUGCGUCCGAUACUGGAGGGCUUGAAUCCGGGAGAGGGAUGUGGAAUUCCAGGUGUAGCGGUGAAAUGCGUAGAUAUCUGGAGGAACACCGGUGGCGAAGGCGGCAUCCUGGACCGGUAUUGACGCUGAGGCGCGAAAGCUAGGGUAGCAAACGGG
This 253-nucleotide ribosomal RNA is filed under the name uncultured bacterium. Its description in RNAcentral is "partial 16S ribosomal RNA". It matches the Rfam family "Bacterial small subunit ribosomal RNA", at positions 524 to 776 of the family's 1533-position model. RNAcentral also lists the same sequence under 1 other name. The record is from RNAcentral.